This 502-nucleotide ribosomal RNA is filed under the name uncultured bacterium. RNAcentral describes it as "partial 16S ribosomal RNA". It matches the Rfam family "Bacterial small subunit ribosomal RNA", at positions 28 to 507 of the family's 1533-position model. The record is from RNAcentral.
GACGAACGCUGGCGGCGUGCUUAACACAUGCAAGUCGAACGGUGAAGGGGUCUGCUUUUGUGGGCCCUGGAUGAGUGGCGAACGGGUGAGUAACACGUGAGUAACCUGCCCCCUUCUUCUGGAUAACCGCAUGAAAGUGUGGCUAAUACGGGAUAUUCUGGGUCUGUCGCAUGAUGGGUCUGGGAAAGAUUGCGCCUUUGGGUGUUUUUGGUGGGGGAUGGGCUCGCGGCCUAUCAGCUUGUUGGUGGGGUGAUGGCCUACCAAGGCGGUGACGGGUAGCCGGCCGGAGAGGGUGGACGGUCACACUGGGACUGAGACACGGCCCAGACGCCUACGGGAGGCAGCAGUGGGGAAUAUUGCACAAUGGGCGCAAGCCUGAUGCAGCGACGCCGCGUGAGGGAGGGAGGCCUUCGGGUUGUAAACCUCUUUCGCCAGUGAAGCAGGCCUGCUCCUUGUGGGUGGGUUGACGGUAGCUGGAUAAGAAGCGCCGGCUAACUACGUG